CUGGGUGUUGCAAAUGGUUAAUGUACUUGGCUGCUAACCAAAAGGUUGAAGCUCCCAAUCCACCCAGA
Molecule: transfer RNA, 68 nt
Filed under: Loxodonta africana (African savanna elephant)
Lineage: Eukaryota; Metazoa; Chordata; Mammalia; Proboscidea; Elephantidae
Rfam family: tRNA
About the family: Transfer RNA (tRNA) molecules are approximately 80 nucleotides in length. Their secondary structure includes four short double-helical elements and three loops (D, anti-codon, and T loops).
Source: Rfam by way of RNAcentral